This 940-nucleotide ribosomal RNA is filed under the name uncultured archaeon. RNAcentral's name for it is "bacterial SSU rRNA". It matches the Rfam family "Archaeal small subunit ribosomal RNA", at positions 1 to 922 of the family's 1478-position model. The record is from RNAcentral.
UCCGGUUGAUCCUGCCGGACCCGACCGCUAUCGGGGUGGGGCUAAGCCAUGCGAGUCGUACGCCCGGGGUCCGCCGGGCGUGGCGCACGGCUCAGUAACACGUGCCUAACCUACCCUCGGGAGGGGGACAACCCCGGGAAACUGGGGCUAAUCCCCCAUAGGGGAAGGGUGCUGGAAGGCCCCUUCCCCGAAAAGGACUGCGGUUGAUCUACCGCAAUCCGCCCGAGGAUGGGGGCACGGCCCAUCAUGGUAGUUGGCGGGGUAACGGCCCGCCAAGCCGAAGACGGGUGGGGGCCGUGAGAGCGGGAGCCCCGAGAUGGGCACUGAGACAAGGGCCCAGGCCCUACGGGGUGCAGCAGGCGCGAAAACUCCGCAAUGCGGGAAACCGUGACGGGGCCACCCCGAGUGUCGCCCGAAGAGGGCGACUUUUGCCCGGUGCAAAAAGCCGGGCGAAUAAGCGGGGGGCAAGUCUGGUGUCAGCCGCCGCGGUAAUACCAGCCCCGCGAGUGGUCGGGGUGCUUACUGGGCCUAAAGCGCCCGUAGCCGGCCCGGUAAGUCGCCCCUGAAAUCCACGGGCUCAACCCGUGGGCCGGGGGCGAAACUGCCGGGCUUGGGGGCGGGAGAGGCCGAGGGUACUCCCGGGGUAGGGGCGAAAUCCGAUAAUCCCGGGAGGACCACCAGUGGCGAAGGCGCUCGGCUGGAACGCGCCCGACGGUGAGGGGCGAAAGCUGGGGGAGCAAAGGGGAUUAGAUACCCCUGUAGUCCCAGCUGUAAACUAUGCGGGCUAGCUGUUGGGCGGGCUUAGGGCCCGCCCAGUGGCGGAGGGAAGCCGUUAAGCCCGCCGCCUGGGGAGUACGGCCGCAAGGCUGAAACUUAAAGGAAUUGGCGGGGGGGCACCACAAGGGGUGAAGCUUGCGGCUUAAUUGGAGUCAACGCCGGG